Molecule: non-coding RNA, 102 nt
Filed under: Pongo abelii (Sumatran orangutan)
Lineage: Eukaryota; Metazoa; Chordata; Mammalia; Primates; Hominidae
Source: RNAcentral
UUAAGUUGGGGCAAAUGGCUAUAGUGCAGAGUAAUGCCAUCACUGGGCACUACGAAUGCCAAGACUGAAGAAUUAACAGCCACCCCUCAGGCGCAGGACCAG